GAAUGGUUUACUGCAGCAAAGUAAUAGGGCUUGUGCCGGGGGAUAAAAUGAAGCAGAACUUGCCUUCAGUUUCAGCCGCUCCUUCUUGAAAUAUAUAUGUAUGUAUGUGUUUGCAAUAUUUUGCUUAUAUUUUGUAACAAUUAUGUUAAAUAAAUUAAACAUUUUAAAAAAUGCAAACGCAACACGCUGGCUAAUAACGGUUAGUAAAUAUAUAAUUGGUAUGAUGUCAUUCAAAAUAUACGAAUAAGCCACUUUAAAAUAAUCUAUAUAUCAUACAACACAUCUCACAAAAUAGACAAGUAACUGCAAGUUGUUAUAUGUAUCAGAGUCAAACAAAGAUUCAAACAACCAAUGAAUAGCAAGGAACGCCAAACGACUCUCAAAGGAAGACAUCUCACGAAAGUCUCAAAGGAAGACGUCUCUCCGAAGUCUCAGUGCAUCCGGACAUAGUUCAACUGUUUUGGAAUAAAGUCUUCAUCAGCGAAUAAUCAAUGAAAUAUACAUACUAGUGAAGAUCAUACUAGUGGAUCAGUGCUCACUGGAUAAUGUAGCUGCUGAUUUUUGUAGAUUGUCACAUUUUGCAACACAGGGGUUUGUGUUUGUUCGGACUCCCAUCAUCGCCAACCAUUGGCCAUUUGGGGUGGGGCUGAUGGGAGAUGGAGUCCAGCGACAACUAGCAAGCCACAGAUUCUCCAACCCUGGUCUGAUGGUAGGGUCGGCCCCAGCUGGCUGUGCAAGGGGAUGAAGGUGCAAAAGGGCAGCAUGUUUCAUGAAAGCAUGCCCAUGUCCGUUAAUCAAGUCGCAUGAGGGCAGUAGGCCAUCAGAUGAUAUGGCCACUAGCACUGUCGCAGAGAGAUCUUUCUCCUGCGUGUUUAUUGGAGCACGUUUCGCGCACCCUCCCAACAGGCUGCCCUCUGCUUCUGCAUGGUUAAAGGGAUGUGUGCUCAGUAAUCUGCUUUUGAGCUGUAUUACUUUAAUGCAGCUCAAAAUAGCUUUGGUAACAGCGUGAGAUCUUGACCCACUUAAAUUCAGCCAAGCAAUAUGCAGGAUGGAGCCCCAGAGGAAGAAAAAGCUUUUGCUUUCCCCUCAAACCGUAGGUAGAAACCCCCCCACCCCAACGAAUUUUCUCGGAGAAGCAUCCAAAAUCUAUACAUAAUAAGGCGAUUGCAGAAAGGAAGUAUGAAUAAGCCAUCUUUUCAUUUUGAGAAGCGGGAAGACGUGGUGACAUUUCAGCGACUAACCCUUUGAACACAUAAAUCCCCUCUCUGUUAGAAGGUAAUCUGGUCUCUCAGACUCAAAGUAGGAUAAUGAAGUGUCUCAAAAAAUAAAUACAUGGUAAGUAUUCAGUAAGUGCUUCUUCUUCCACAACCUGCAGUUCACACAUGCAUUCUAUGUUUCUCUGACUUAGGAAAUGCACAGACAUAAAUAAAUUCCACUCUAAUUUUACACUCCAACCGAUACACCUUUAAAGCUUUAAAUUUUAUUUUCUGACAUUUAUAUAUUUUUUUUCAUUCAGGGAACACAAGGAGGCCUGCAGGUUGUUCCUCAGAAGUCAUCGACCAGACCCAAACUUGCUUACUUUACCUAUAGAAACUCCUAUAGAAACCGCCCUUGGACCAGACCGC
Podarcis lilfordi (Lilford's wall lizard) is the source of this 1625-nucleotide non-coding RNA. Lineage: Eukaryota; Metazoa; Chordata; Lepidosauria; Squamata; Lacertidae. The record is from the annotation of a GenBank genome assembly.